CCUACGGGGGACAGCAGUGGGGAAUAUUGCGCAAUGGGCGCAAGCCUGAUGCAGCAACGCCGCGUGAAGGAAGAAGGCUUUCGGCUCGUAAACUUCUAUUCUCAGGGACGAAAGAAGUGACGGUACCUGAGGAAUAACCCCCGGCUAACUACGUGCCAGCAGCCGCGGUAAUACGUAGGGGGCAAGCGUUAUCCGGAUUUACUGGGUGUAAAGGGUGAGUAGGCGGGAUGGUAAGCCAGAUGUGAAAGCCUUGGGCUUAACCUGAGGAUUGCAUUUGAAACUAUCAUUCUUGAGUACAGGAGAGGAAAGCGGAAUUCCUAGUGUAGCGGUGAAAUGCGUAGAUACUAGGAAGAACACCAGUGGCGAAGGCGGUCUGCUGGACAGAAACUGACGCUGAGGCGCGAAAGCGUGGGGAGCGAACAGGAUUAGAUACCCGGGUAGUC
This 443-nucleotide ribosomal RNA is filed under the name uncultured bacterium. RNAcentral describes it as "partial 16S ribosomal RNA". It matches the Rfam family "Bacterial small subunit ribosomal RNA", at positions 338 to 795 of the family's 1533-position model. The record is from RNAcentral.